Long non-coding RNA from Saccostrea echinata, 778 nucleotides. RefSeq lists it as uncharacterized. NCBI's taxonomy places the organism in Eukaryota, Metazoa, Mollusca, Bivalvia, Ostreida, Ostreidae. The record is from RefSeq and is a predicted model, not a curated record. The transcript is spliced from 4 exons.
CUGGAAAGUCAAUACAGAUAAGUUCAACGUGUUCUAACGGAACAUUGUUGAAAGAAAGUCUAAACCUUCUUCCUUGUAUUGAAGGUUUCACAGCGACUGGGCUUUACAAUAGCACAGAUGCCUGCAUUACGUGCAAACACACUAGUUUUAAACAGUCCAAGGGAAUGAGCAUAAUACAUGGUGGGACACGAAAUCAUAUUGAAACGUGCUGGUGGAAUAAAACAUCAAUGCGAACGCAUUGUCACCAACAAUCAAAUGGACAUCCAGAUGGAAUAGGCUGCUAUAUUACACCUUACAAACCGGGUACUUUUUACUAUUGCGAGCUAGAUGGUCAAAAAGUUGAGGUGAUUAUGCAGGAGAUAAUAACCACUACUAAAGAUUCCAUAUCAAUUCCACAUAAAAAUGAUACAGACAGUAACGGGGUUAAUCCUCCAGUCCAUGGACUUUACCAUAAAUUUAUUCCAUGUUUUAUUUUCCUUCUAAUUUCGAAUGCUCUAUUAACUUAAUCUUUAUCCAGUCUUUUAUGAGAGUAAAACAUGUAGGGGUCCCCAUCCCUGAUGGUACCGAAGCACAGUGAUACGUACAGUUGUGCUACAGUAUAUGAAGUCGCCUCGGUUUAGUGAUGCAACAACGAUGCAAUGAAACAAACGCAGACGAUAAAAUCAACAUUACAAUUUACAACGAAAUGGACAUCAGUAACGCAAUACUUUGAGGAUUGUAUGGAAAGAGACAUUUUUUAAACGCAUUCGGCAAUUUGUUAUAUCAAAUUUCUAUUUAU